CCUACGGGUGGCAGCAGUGGGGAAUAUUGGACAAUGGGGGCAACCCUGAUCCAGCAAUGCCGCGUGAGUGAUGAAGGCCUUAGGGUUGUAAAGCUCUUUCGGCGGGGACGAUGAUGACGGUACCCGCAGAAGAAGCCCCGGCUAACUUCGUGCCAGCAGCCGCGGUAAUACGAAGGGGGCAAGCGUUGUUCGGAAUCACUGGGCGUAAAGGGCGCGCAGGCGGUCCUUCAAGUCAGAUGUGAAAGCCCCGGGCUCAACCUGGGAACUGCAUUUGAGACUGGAGGACUUGAGGACGGGAGAGGAGAGUGGAAUUCCCAGUGUAGAGGUGAAAUUCGUAGAUAUUGGGAAGAACACCGGUGGCGAAGGCGGCUCUCUGGACCGUACCUGACGCUGAGGCGCGAAAGCGUGGGGAGCAAACAGGAUUAGAUACCCUGGUAGUC
RNAcentral lists this ribosomal RNA (440 nucleotides) under uncultured bacterium. Its description in RNAcentral is "bacterial SSU rRNA". It matches the Rfam family "Bacterial small subunit ribosomal RNA", at positions 338 to 795 of the family's 1533-position model. The record is from RNAcentral.